AGCGUUGCGCUAUUAAUUGCAGGUAGCCUUUCGCGCGAAUGAAAUUCAUAGUUGUUGUUUGUUUUUUGGUGUUCCAUGUGCUAGUGCAGCAAAGCGCAUAUUGCAUAUUUGAUGUAGAUGUAAGAUAGGAAUCAAAUCUAAUCUAAAUUUCACUUCUUGGAUGUUUUUUACAUUUUUACUUACAUAAUUGUGUUUGCCGACGUAUUCUGACCUCAGUCCCAUUUGAAUAUAUGUUUAAUUUGAAGUUUAUACAUUUUGAGAAUAUAUAUGACUGAGUAGGCAAUUGAAAAGUAAAGUCCUCUCUCGACGAACCAAAAUCAAACUAUAUAAGUCGCUCAUUAUUCCCGUCCUGAUGUAUGGCGCUGAAGCGUGGACGAUGACAACAUCCGAUGAGACGACUCUUGGGGUUUUCGAGAGAAAGGUUUUGCGCAAGAUUUUUGGUCCUCUAAACAUUGGCAACGGCGAAUACCGCAGGCGAUGGAACGAUGAGCUGUACGAUUUAUACGACGACAUUGACAUAGUUCAGCGAAUAAAAAGACAGCGGCUACGCUGGCUAGGUCAUGUUGUACGGAUGGAAGAAAACACUCCAGCUCUGAAAGUAUUCGAUGCAGUACCCGCUGGAGGAAGCCGCGGAAGAGGACGACCUCCACUCCGGUGGAAAGACCAAGUGCAAAGUGACCUGGCUUCACUUGGUGUUUCCAAUUGCCGCCAAAAAGGAGGAAUGAGUGGCGCGCUCUGGUGGAUUCGGCUAUAAUCGCUUAAAGCGGUUCCUACGCCAAAUAUAUAUAUAUAUAUGACGCAGUAGCUCAGUGCAGAAGUAAGGACCUAGGAUCGGCCUCCUCUACUUAUAUAAACCAAUUAUGUAUCUAAAUAAGGAAUUUCUAAUAAAAGUUCCAGACUAAAUAUGAUACUUUAUAUAUGAGACGUUCACAAUUGAUGAAGAAAUUUGUUACUUCCACAGAGUCAGUUUCAUUGGUCAAAUCAUAUAUUGGUCCCAAAAAAUUUAAUUGGAAAGUCGAUCAGAUUAGGGGAAAUUUGGAUUAAAUUACGGUCAAAAUCUUGGUAGUUAAGUAGUAAGUGUGCAGUUGUCUCUACCGUAGUACAGCAGUUUUUGUAUCCUCUCAAAUAGUUUGGCUUCAGUGGAGUCGUGACAGUACUGAUUGUAUGGAUUUUACCUAACCCCGUGAUCCAAUAAGUCUCAUUAAAAGUCCAAGUGGGACUUCCGGUUCCCGGUCUAACUCAAGGGCGGAGAUAUUUUAUAGAAUGUGUAAUGAUGAGAUUCAUUGCUGCUGAUCUGGAACAUAUUGAACUUCCCUGAUGUAAUUUUAUAAAUGAAUAUUCCUUCAUUGGUCCAUCCGUUGUAUCCAAUUUGCGGUUACUCGUUCGAGGAUUUCGACUGGUAACUGGCGGAUGAUACGCGUAAUGUGUUGCUCCAAGGAAAAAGUCUAACGGUCUGAUAUCACACGAUCUUGGUGGUCAAUCGAUCAACCUAAAACGUGAAAUUAUCUGCUCAUCGAAGUGUUCUCUCAAUAAAUCCAUUGAUUGAUACGAUGUGUGAGUAGUGGCGCCGUCUGGUUGAAACUAAUAGUCGCAGGGAUCACGUGCUUAAUUCCAGACAUCAAAUAGUCAGCUUGACACGACUCAAGACCGUUUAUUUACCAGAGAGGAAGAUCUGUUUUUUAUAGAACUUGUGGAUUUUUGAGUAUACAAUUUUGGGGUUUAUGAAAUGAUACAUAUUACUUUUUUUAUAUUUGUUAAUAUACAUAUUU
Zeugodacus cucurbitae (melon fly) is the source of this 1769-nucleotide long non-coding RNA. RefSeq lists it as uncharacterized. The transcript has 3 exons. Lineage: Eukaryota; Metazoa; Arthropoda; Insecta; Diptera; Tephritidae. The record is from RefSeq and is a predicted model, not a curated record.